UGACGAUAAACGAUAAUCAAUUUGACAAACGAUAAUGGUAAUUAUGCUGACGAGAGAGAGAUUCGAACGUAGCUACAAAGGCUACAAAGGUGAAUCACUCAGCUCUAACCAACUCGAUUAACUCGAUUCCAAACAAAUAAAGAUGGAAUAAUUACGCUAAAUUCAUUUACACUGUAGGAGAGAUAUUCAAACAUAACUACACAGGUAGAUCACACAACUUUAGCCAACUCAACUAACUCAAUUUCAAAAAACUAACAAUAGAUGAUAAUAAAUUUGACUAAAUAGGAUAAUUAUGCUAAAUUUAAGUACACUCCGAGAGAGAGAGAAAGAUUCGAACUCAGCUACAAAUGCAGAUCACACGAUUUUAACCAACUCACUAACUCAAUUCCAAAUAGUUAACAAUAAAUUUGACAAACGAUAUAAUAACUACGCUAAAUUCAUCUGAAAUACGACAAAAGAGUUUCAAAUUAAACACAAAACUCAAACUAAAAUCGUGCUAAUUUAGUCAACUCGACUAAACUGAGGAAAGGAAGAAAAGAUUUAUGCAUACCUUUUUCUGGCCCUGCCAACUUUGGCGGCCAUGCAGAAAUUGAGAAAAGUGUAGAGAACGACGGCGAGGACUACAUAGCCGUAUUCUUUGGGCAGCAAUUCGACUGCAGAAGCCAUUUUUUCUUCUUCUCUUCUUCACAUGGGUUUAAUUUGGACAUUGGGGUAUCCACCUUUACCAGUCUUAUACUUGUUUGCCGACUUUUUCUCCAAGACAACUCUAGAGUUUAAUAUUUCUACAGUCUAAUACAGAGGGCUACUUUGCUCACUGCUGAUGCUCACUUUCAUUGAUGUUGUUAGAUUCGUUUGAUAUAAUUGUUUUAACAAAAUUGUUAUUUUUCCUUAAAAAAAUAUCAUCAUUUAUUAUUAUUUUUUCACGAGACCGUAUAUGUUGGUGAGUUCUAUUUUUAUUAGAGAGAUGAUACACAUAAUAGUACAAAUAGAAGUGUAGCACUACUCUUAAUUUAAUACACAAAACUUAAGAUCUAAACUAGAGAUUUAACGGUGGUGCAUUUUUGCUCAUCACCCUAAAGAAUGGUAGUGCUCAUCACCUAUUUAGAUGAAUAUAAAUUUUGACUUCUGUUUAUUUACUGUACAAAUAUCAAAAUUUAAAUUUAUCUAACGAUAAUAAAUAUGGUGUUGAACAUCGCCAUCACUUGAAUUAGUGAGCAAAAAUAUUCCCAUAAGGGUUGAGGAAAAAUGCACUCACCAAGUGGGUUGACCCCAAACAACAAAAUAAAAAGAUAAAAAUACAUGCUUGUGUAACAAGUACAUUAAUUUUUUAGAGUAGGAGUGGUUGGUUUUCGUGAUCGACUUUUCCUCCAUGCCAUCCCUUUAUCUUUGACAUUUUUUAUUUCAAUCUUUAUCUUUGACAUUAACUCCAAUCAAUUUUCCAAAGAGUAAUAUUUUAUGCAACUCUAAAACGGCCACACACGUGCCUUUCACGUGCUAAUUCCAUUGAAAAAGUAGCAGAACUACAUUAUUGAUUGUCUUCAAAUUCUAACAAUUUCUAAAUUACAUGAUUUAAUGACUCAUUUGAAGUAUUUUUAAAAUAAUUGAAAAUAUUAUAAAGACAUGAUUUUUAAGUUCCAAAAGUUAAAAUGCAUCAUGUAAGAAACAUCGGUUAUGUGUUUAUUUCACAAAACAAUUUAAGUAUUUUUCUAGAACUUACAUACAUUUUUAUUAAAGAUUGAUUAUAAAAAGAUUUUCACAAAUCCAAAUGGGCUCUAAAUUGCAACAAUUGUAACUACAAGGACGAAAGUAGACGUUUUCUACAAGUACCAAAAUCAUACAUUUGGCCAAAACAAAAGGAACAAGAGAACAAAACAAAAGGGGAGACGAAAACAACACAAGAAAGUAGCCAUUACAUACAAAGAUACAAGCCAUAAAAUUCCACAUAAACAUUGUAAAAUCCCUAGAGGCAGAGGGCCUAAGAGCAACUCUACCGUUGCAAAGGCCCUCUAGGGCAAGUCACUAUUGAAUAGCCUAUAAUGAACAGUAACUGUCUUAAUGAACAGUAACUGUCUUUUGCAUCUCCACCCCUUCACUGAAUAGCCCUGACAAUAGGCAAUAAAAUAUUAGUAUUUUUUUAUUUUAUAAAAUAAUACAAAAUAAUUUUAUUUGUAAUUUCGGAUAUGAUUUUUAAUAGGUCUCGUUGUACCACGUGUCAUUAAAUAAAAAAUUACAACCCAAAGUAUUUAAGAAAAUAUAAAAUUAUGGUGUAAGUUGGAAGAUAAUGAUAACAUACUUAUAGAAAAUUAAAUCAAUUUAUUUUUUUUGGAUUUUUUUAAUUAAAAUUUUACUUUUUUUUUAAUUAAUUUUUUAUAUUGUGGCUGACAUCACCAUGACAUUAGCCUUGCAUCACAUGGCCUUUGGGCUGGCAACUCGUGUCGGGCCUCUCCCUCUAGCCUCGCCAGCACAUGCUAGAUCAAGUUGCUUGGGCUUUCUGGUCCUGUUUGAGAGCCAGUCCAUCGGGCUAUUGCCCACGGUGAAACUGCUCUAAACGUACGAUGACGACUUAGCCUAUGUUUUGCAGAGUUUGCACUUCUGACUGCGACGCAAUUCCUGAUUGAUUGUGUUAGACUUCCCAAUUUUUCCCGUCGAAAUACUUAAUCUCAACGCAAGUGAGUGUUCCAGGAUCAACACACCUAAACGUGAUUGUGACCCCAUCAGGGUUCUCGCGUUGAUAAUAGAAUGAAGUUAUCCCACAAACUUUACAGAACAUGUGCUUUGUAGUAUGAGUACCGAAGGUGUUGGUUGUAAGAAACUGCUCAGAAUCACCCCAAAGUUUAAAUCUUUCAGCAGGGACAACGAAAGCGAUGGUACCCCUUAUAGAGCAAUUCGAGCAGUUGCAACUCGUAGCCACAACACUGCUAGGUGCCUUCACUCGCCAUCUUACAUUCUUGCAGUGGCACCCGCCUUCAUGUACUACCAUUGUAGAGUCCAUGUGUGACAGCCCGUCCCGUAUUAUCAUUUUCGAAAGUGUGAAAUUACUAAAUACCCUUAAACGUUUUAAAGAAUUAGAACUUUAGGGUUUGUUUAAUUACCCUAGUUUUUAAGCGUGGAUGAUUUUUGUACGUUUUGUUUGCUCGUGUUUGAAAGAUUGUGGCUUGUGGACCACAUACACUCAUGGGAUACAGAGAAACCAUCCCUUUUUCUUCUUCUUUCCCGUGAUUCCCUCAAACACUCACUCUCACUCUCUCUCUCUCCCUUCGAACACUCUCUCUCUCUCUCUUCAUACGGACCAUCAUCAAAGUUCAUCAAAACUUCACAGAUCGAAGAAACAAAGAUCACCAUCGUCUUCGUCUCGUCGAUACGAGUUCAUCCAUACCUAUUUCAGGUAAGAACUUCAACGUUUUCACGUCCAACCACUCACCUCCGAGUUUGACACUAUUCAUCAACUUUGUAUUGGUUGAUUUUUAGGAGUUUUCAAGCUUGUAGGAAGCUUCUUGAGGUCCUUAGGAGGCUCGGCGUAGUUCGUUGGAGGUUUUUGGACGUAAGAAUAUCGAGAUCGAAAAGUUCAAGUUUGACCCGUGCCUUUCGAGUCGUUUUCCGGCCAAACCACGGAGAGUUAGACGUCGUGCGAGGUACCAUUCUCUUCGUCUCUUCGAGAAAUACAACUUUCGUUUUUGUUUCACCCAAUUUCGUUGAGUAUUAAAGAAGUUAUACUCAUUUGAAUCUUACCCAGUUUCCGGCGAGUCCGACGGCUUUCGAGGCUUUUUACGGUGAAUUAUCGGCGAUUUAAGGGUCGAGAAGGGUAUAGAUAUGUUUGUCUCGUCAAUAUCUUCAGUUUGAUAUAAAGUACGUUGAAAAUGGUGAAGAAAUGACAAAGUUAUGGCAAUUUGAAAAACUGCCCAGAAACCGGCGAAACCAGUCCGGCGAGCCGAGGAAGAAGACGCGCGUGGGCGCGCGUGGACCGCCACUUUGGGCGGCGCGUGGGGGCGCGUCCGGCAUCCGACCGGCGCGUGGUUUGUACGUACGCGUUAGUGUCGUCGAGUAGAUCGAUUUCAUAUAUUUAUACCCUAGGUUUGAGCAAAUUAUGAGCGUUUUAUUUAGGUUUCCGUUAUGUGCUUUAAUUAAUGUUAUUUAGUUAUUUCAUAUAUAGGGGAAACUUAUUCCGAGGAUUUUCGAGGCCAAGCUAGGCUCGGGGGCUACGAUUUAACGACGUACUUGUGAGUGGGUAGUUGUUUAUACCUAUAUAUAUUUAUAGUUUCCAUAAAUGCGUAUUUACUUCAUUUUUACGCCUAUAUUGCCUAGUAUCAUUAUUAUGAUAUAAAUUGUGAUAAAUGCUGCUAUAUGGUUGUGAUAUUACUGUCAUGGCAUCAUACAUACUUGUGUACAUGCUCAUCUUGCUGCACCUGGUGUUAGUACUCGCCCCAGGGCCAGGGCCAGUCCUUCACGUGUAUGUUCACAUCCGCACCGUUCGCUCACCUUGGAUCCAAGUUUAGGUGCCAGUCUUGUCGGGUAGAUUGCAUUAGGCGAUCUGACUUGUAUGUGAUGUGCUUUUGCACCAGUUUUCACGUGAUCGUAGUACUAGAGCAUAUUGAUUACACCCAGUCCUGUUCGUGUCAGAAACCAUCUGUCCAAACUUGUGUGUCAGCUUAGAUGGAUGAGCACUUAGUUGUAUUGAUUAUCACUUGAUUAUUAUUGUGGCAUAUGAUACAUCAUUGACUUGGCAUAAUUCUGGUUAUAUGGUUUAUAUAUAUUGGAUUUCAUACUUACGUAGUAUGUUUUGAGGAAAUUAUACUUGUUUUACGGCGAGGGGUUAGUAUAUUCAAAGAUAAAGGUUUUCUUAUAAGCAUUGUUUUACUGACCCACUCAAUUUUGUUUUGCGCCCCUCCAUGUAUAAGAUAACAGAGCUUUGGUGGCCACGAGGAAUCCAACGAUGUUCUGAUAGAAUUCAUAAAAGUAGGACUCACCCUCGGGUGUUUCAUCUUAGUAAUUGUAUUCUUUAAAGCUUUCGAAAUGUGUAAAUGGUUACGUCACUCUCACGUGACGGCCAACAUGCCCUCCUUCGGGAUGGGGUGUGCCACCAUGCCUCACGAUUUUAAGUCUUCAACAGCGCUAAUGAACAGGAUUAUUUCUUCGAAUUUCUAAAUGCACACUGACACACCCCGAUCCUAAAAUCAAGGCGUGAUGGCCAUCAAGUGAGCGUGACGUAGCCAAAAGUGCGACACGGAAGCAAGAGAUAAUAGAAAUAUGAAGGAAUUUAAACCAACCACUAGCAGUAAUAACCUACUAGCAUAAAAGAGUGAGUUCUAAAGUAAAACACACGAAUUCAGGGCGUAGGUAUCAAGUGCAGUCUAGUAGGACUAUAAUUAAAAGUACAACACCUGCAGGUGAGUCCUACAUGCAGAACGUCUAUCAGAACGCCGAAAAGACCUCGUGAGCAACCAACUGCUAACUAGAACCUGGAGGGGCCCAAAACAAAGAUGAGUGGGUCAGUAAAAUCAAAGAUUUUCCAAAACAUUUCCUUUAAAACAUUUCUAACCCCUCACCGUAAAACCUAUAUACUUUUCCAGAAAUUUAUUAUAAAACAUAUAUACAUAUAUCAUCAAACUCAGCUCACAAUCUUUCAAAGCUUUUCAGAAAGAAUAUGCCAUGCCAUGCCAUGCCAAAAUAUAAUAUGAAUGCAUUGAUAUAAAUCAGGUGAAAUAAUAAAUCAACCGGAGACUCUACAAUGGUCCUUUUAAUUAUAGUCCUACUAGACUGCACUUGAUACCUACGCUUUGAAUUCGUGUGUUUUACUUUAGAACUCACUCUUUUAUGCUAGUAGGUUAUUACUGCUAGUGGUUGGUUUAAAUUCCUUCAUAUUUCUAUCAUCUCUUGCUUCCGUGUCGCACUUUUGGCUACGUCACGCUCACGUGACGGCCAACACGCCUUGAUUCUAGGAUCGGGGUGUGUCAGUUUGGUAUCAGAGCCUAGGUUGCAGUCCUGUAUAAUUGUUAAUGCUCUAAUGAUCUUUUGAUGUUUUCUGUCAGAAUUAUGCCGCCUCGUAGGGAACGUAUGGAAUCCCGCCGUAGUUCUGAACCUAAUUUCCCUGAUAUCACUCAGUUAGGGGAAGCAAUGGCCUAGGCUUUUCAGAAUGCAAUUUGUCCUCCUCCCCCUCCUCAGAGGACACCUCUGGAGACUAUGUACAAUUUGAAAUUGGAUCGUUUUAUGGGUAAUGAGGGUCACGAAGGGGCAGAGAAAUGGCUAGACCAUAUUGAGAAGACGUUUCAGGUGAUGCAAAGUCAGGGGAACUUUCCUGCUGAUAGGUGGGUUGAGACCACUACCUGGUUUUUGGGUCGAGAGCCGGCAGGUUGGUGGAGGAAUCAAACUCAGUUUAUGUCCCCAGAAAUGGCAGCUGAUUGGGAAGUAUUUAAAGAGAAUUUCAAGAAAAGAUUUGUCCCUCCAAAGUACAUCGAUCGCAAGAAACAGGAGUUUACUCGUUUGAAGCAAAGGAAUAUGUCAGUGCACGAGUACUACAGAAAGUUUACUGAUUUGUCUCGUUAUGACCCUGAUACAGCUGGUAAUCAGGUAGAGAUGCUUCGACGUUUCAAGUUGGGAACUAAGAGAAAAUGGCGGACUUUUGCCAGUGCACUUCCCUGCGCUGAUUAUCAUGAGUUUUUCGAAAUUUUGGUUCGGAUGGAGGACUCCGACAAUCUUCCUAGUGACAGUGAGGAUGACGAGGACGAGAAUGAUGGUCAGAAGAAGGAUGAUAAAGGUAAGGGUAUCUCCAUUCCGGGACCUCGUAAGACGCAGAAUUUUAAGAAGAGUGAAGCGAGUUCGAGUUCUUCUAGUGGAGGAUAUAGUAUUACUGGCCCGAGGAGAGGUGGUGGAAGAUUUUCUGGUGGACCCAGAUUUCAGAAGCAGAGGGAUUCCGGUGGUGCUAGUGGUUCUGGUGCUCCGUGGUGCCGCCGUUGUAAUUUUCGUCAUCAUGGUGAGUGCAUGAAUGGUGGUGGUGCUUGUUAUAAUUGUGGACAAAUGGGACAUCGGGCUUCUCAGUGUCCCUAGGUCAACAGAGACCUCAGCAGACCACUAUGCCACCUCCAGCGCCGAUUCAGCAGAGCUUUGGACCAGGCAGUUAUGGCCAGUCGAGUCGUGGUGGUGCUUACCACUACCAGGGUGAUGCUGCUCCUUAUGCUUCCGGAUCGUAUCAGUAUCCCCAGGAUCCUUAUUCUCAGACUUGGUAUUCCCAAGACCUUGGGGGUUAUUCUUCUUAUUCUUCCAUGCCAGCUGGUGGAUCUCAGUGGCAUCAGGGAGGUCAACCCCGUUAGGGGGAAGUUGCUGCUAGUGGUGUAGGAUCAUCUAGGUAGUCUAGUCAGUCAGGCCAGGGACGUACUUCUCAGGGGCGAGGUAAUCAAGGCAACAGAGGUCGUGGUGGACGACAGCAAGCUCAGGGACGUGUUAAUCACAUCUCACUGCAAGAUGCUCAGAACCAUCCAGAUUUGAUCAUGGGUACGUUAAAUGUUCUUGGUCAUUUUGCUAGAGUUUUGAUUGAUUGUGGUGCUACGCAUUCUGUGAUUUCUCAUACGUUUGCUCAAAUGACUCAACCUCACCCUUCACCUCUAGGAUUUGAUUUAGAGUUUGCCAUGCCUAAAGGAGAUAAAUGUUAUGUUGAUAGUGUGUAUCUUGGGAGUCCAGUGAUGGUAGAGGGCAUAGUGGUCUGCUAAGGUCUCUGCUGACCCUGGGGACACUGAGAAGCCCGAUGUCCCAUUUGUCCACAAGUAUAACAAGCACUACCACCUCUCCUGCACUCACCAUGAUGACGAAAAUUACAACGGCGGCACCACGGAGCACCAAAACCACCAGCACCACCGGAAUCCCUCUGCCUCUGAAAUCUGGGUCCAUCAGAAAAUCCUCCACCACCUCUCCUCGAGCCAGUAAUACUAUAUCAUCCACUAGAAGAACUCGAACUCGCUCCAUUCUUCUUAAAAUUCUGCGUCUUACGAGGUCCCGGAAUGGAGAUACCCUUACCUUUAUCAUCCUUCUUCUGACCAUCAUUCUUGUCCUCGUCAUCCUCACUGUCACUAGGAAGAUUGUCGGAGUCCUCCAUCCGAACCAAAAUUUCGAAAAACUCAUGAUAAUCGGCGCAGGGAAGUGCACUGGCAAAAGUCCACCAUUUUCUCUUAGUUCCCAACUUGAAACGUCGAAGCAUCUCUACCUGAUUACCAGCUGUAUCAGGGUCAUAACGAGACAAAUCAGUAAACUUUCUGUAGUACUCGUGCGCUGACAUAUUCCUUUGCUUCAAACGAGUAAACUCCUGUUUCUUGCGAUCGAUGUACUCUGGAGGGACAAAUCUUUUCUUGACUCUUUAAAUACUUCCCAAUCAGCUACCAUUUCUGGGGACAUAAACUGAGUUUGAUUCCUCCACCAACCUGCCGGCUCUCGACCCAAAAACCAGGUAGUGGUCUCAACCCACCUAUCAGCAGGAAAGUUCCCCUGACUUUGCAUCACCUGAAACGUCUUCUCAAUAUGGUCUAGCCAUUUCUCUGCCCCUUUGUGACCCUCAUUACCCAUAAAACGAUCCAAUUUCAAAUUGUACAUAGUCUCCAGGGGUGUCAUCUGAGGAGGGGGAGGAGGACGAAUUGCAUUCUGAAAAGCCUGGGCCAUUGCUUCCCCUAACUGAGUGAUAUCAGGGAAAUUAGGUUCAGAAGUACGGCGGGAUUCCCUACGUUCCCUACAAGGCGACAUAAUUCUGACAGAAAACAUCAAAAGAUCAUUAGAGCAUUAACAAUUAUACAGGACUGCAACCUAGGCUCUGAUACCAAACUGACACACCCCGAUCCUAGAAUCAAAGCGUGUUGGCCGUCACGUGAGCGUGACGUAGCCAAAAGUGCGACACGGAAGCAAGAGAUAAUAGAAAUAUGAAGGAAUUUAAACCAACCACUAGCAGUAAUAACCUACUAGCAUAAAAGAGUGAGUUCUAAAGUAAAACACACGAAUUCAAAGCGUAGGUAUCAAGUGCAGUCUAGUAGGACUAUAAUUAAAAGUACAACACCCGCAGGUGAGUCCUACAUGCAGAACGCCGAAAAAGACCUUGUGAGCCACCAACUACUAACUAGAACCUGGAGGGGCGCAAAACAAAGAUGAGUGGGUCAGUAAAAUCAAAGAUUUUCCAAAACAUUUCCUUUAAAACAUUUCUAACCCCUCACCGUAAAACCUGUAUACUUUCCCAGAAAUUUAUUAUAAAACAUAUAUACAUAUAUCAUCAAACUCAGCUCACAAUCUUUCAACGCUUUUCAGAAAGAAUAUGCCAUGCCAUGCCAUGCCAAAAUAUAAUAUGAAUGCAUCGAUAUAAAUCAGGUGAAAUAAUAAAUCAACCGGAGACCCUACAAUGGUCAUGACGGCUGAUUUUAUAGCUCAAUAUCCCACUCAGCCGGAGUCACCACAGUGACCUAUACGGCCAUACUCUGCACGUCACUCGGAACUACGUAAGGUAGUCUGUACGAUGAAAGGUGUAAGAAUACGCUCUAGUGCUUCUCUCAUCAAUCAUGGCGCGCAUAACUAAGGUCACCCACUAGUCGGAAUCACAUCUAGUGAUCUAUACGACUAGCAUGUCGAAACCCUCACAUGGUCUGUACGACAGUCACCUACUUGGAUCCAAGGCGAGCCUGCGGUGUGGUGAAUAAUAUAAGCACUAACACCUAGGGUGCAGGUUAUGAGCUUUCAAUGCAAUUCACAUAAAUAAAUCGUAUGAAUAAUGUAAAAACUCACUUGUGCGUCCACAACGUCAAUUCAUAUAUAUAUGCAUCAAUUAUCAAUUCAAAUAUCUCAUCAAUUGCAUGCAUGGCAUUUUAAAACAUAUUUUCAUAUAAAUGCAUUUUCUGGGAAAAACAGUAGUAUAUAGGUAAUACGAAAACAAAGCUGCCCACUCACUGGUAAGUCGAUGGGUCGUAACCCCCGUGACGUCCCUGGAUGCGCUCGUCCUCGGGAUAGGUGUCACCUAUAUGCGAAACAAUUAUAAAAACGUUAAUUAAAACACAUAACCAAUAAUUCGAAAUAACUUUUCAUACGGUGCUCAAUUUGGGUAUGUGAAUAUACCACAACGACCUACUCGACGUCACGAACGACGAGGAAUUUUUAGAAAAUUUUUUGGAAGCCCCACGCGCCGUCAUGCGCCGGCCAAGGCACGGCCAGACGCGCGGUUACGCGCAGGCCACGUGUCGCGCGUGUUGUCUCCUACCCUGGGCUCGUCGGACUGGUUUUUCCGGUGGCCAGAUUCCGACGAAUUUUGUAAUUGCUUGUUCUCCUUCGUUUCUCAACCGUUUUCUUCGAAUUUUAUAUCAAUUUGAAGCCCUCAACAUGUAGAAUCACGAUAGACUAGUUUCAAGGUCUAAAAUUCACUAGAUUUUACCUGGGGAAGCACGAUAAUUCGAAAAUUUUGAGAAACUCCGUUCUCGGUCCUCCGACGUCCAAAUGUUACCAACGAAGUACCCCGAAGCUCGUGAGGAUGUCCUUAAGCUCACUGUGAGCUUGAAAUUCCCUGAAAUGUAAGAUUUCACGUGUGCAUGAACAGUGCACAUUUUCGGGGUUAGGGUUCCACGACGAUUCCGAGGGUUUCACUUCCUAAAACUAGUACCAUUCAACUCAGAAUAUCAAAAGGAUGAAGAAUCAUACCUUAUUUGCUUCGAUCCGCAAAGUUUUGAAGGGUUUUGGUCUUGUCCGUACUAUUUCGAGAGGGAGAGAGUGAGAGAGAGUCGUGAGGGAAGAGAGAGAGAAAGCACGGGGGAAGGGAGAGAGAGCAGGGAGUGCGUGUGUGUGUUUGUGUGGUCCAACGCAAAUCCACAUCAUCAAUUUCUCAUCCUAGCUCCCUAACCACACACAAAAAAUAUCCCACAUAAGCAAAGUCCAAGGUUAAGAAUUUAAGUCUAAAUAAUGCCACACACACAUACCUUAAUACCCGUCAAGGGUAAUUCCGUCAUUUCACGUCCCCGAUAUAAAAAUCCCGGGACAGGCUGUGACACACACGCUCUGACCUGUCAAUAAACAGCACAUCAUAACAAUUUGUUGCAGUAAAUGAAACCCAAAUAUACAAUUGCAAUUCCAGUUCAUUCAAGUCGAUCCUAUUCUAGUUUAAUGGUAAGUCAGUACGGAACCGAGAUUUAGAUUACAACCUCACCAAAAUACAAACCUACACUUAAGCAGAAUAAAAUACAAGAAAUAAAGACACCGAGAAAUUUACGAGAUUCGACAAAAUUAUGCUUACGACCUUAGAGAGAUACUGCUCUUCACUAUUAGGAUAACGAGUACAAGAUACACUUGAGUUAAAUCGACUUAACCCAUUAGGUUCACAAAUGAUUAGUUAUGUAAAAUCGCCUUGGUUAAGAAAAAGAAUAAUGCUUAGACCAACUUUUAAGAUUAAAUUUACAAAUCAUGUGACAUGUCACCAAAUUCCCAUUUAUUCUUUCACGACCGCUUAGGGUUAUAGAGUUUGGCACCAAUUUUGCUUGGAUCAAAUUGUAUACGAGCCUACUGAUGGAUCCACAUAGGAGCCAAUAUAUGCAAUUGCCCCCCUCACCACUUUUCCUACACAUGAAAUUGACAAAAAUUCAUUUGUUAUUCUUCUUGAACCCAAAUACCAUUCAAGCAUGAUGCCUGACAAAAUAUCUCAAAUGACUCAAAGAGGCUGAAGCAUGGUUGGUAGCAAGGGGCAACUUGCCAAAGUGGUGUGCGGGUUUCAUCUCGGCCUCGGAAGAAAGAGAAUCUUCCAUUCCCCACUAAUUUGUAAUUAUUGUGUUCCUUUAACUUCUACCAAAUUCUUUCUAUGCUCGUCUCUUUUAAUUCUUGUUUCUGGUUCUGGCCUGCUGGCCAUUGCCUUGCUUUGGUCUUGUAUGUUAAUGUUUGUCUCUCUUAACAAAUUUGGUCUUUCAUAAAGAUACCAGAAAGAAACCAAUUGGACUUGAUGGUCGUGAAUUUUUGGAUUGGCCAUGUUACAAACUAUUGACAAUAUCAUGUUAUAAACUAUUCUUGCUUAUUAGAGAGGCCGACUCGAACUCAACUGCAAACAGUAAACAAUGAAUAUAUUCUUCUGACUAAGCGCUCGUUUGAAAGUGUUUUUAAAAUAACUUGAAACACUCUUGGUGAAAUUGUUUUUGGCCUCCAAAAGCAUUAUGUAGGAAGCACAUGUGUUUUUCUAAGAUUCACUUGCAUUUUUAGUAAGGAUUAGUUCCAUAAAAAAACUUUCAUCAAAAUGAUUUCGGUUAUUUUAAAAGUACACUUUCCAAACGAGUCCUAACUGGCAUAAAAUUAACCUGAUGUUUAACCAUAUGAAAAUCAUGUAUCUUAAACAAUUAUAUGCAUAAAACAUCAAAAGUAGGCCUACAAAGCGCAACAGACACACUCCGUCCUUCCUAUAUCUUGCACUUUCUUUCUUAUUCAAAGCCAACACUACAAACAAAAGGAAAACUGCAGGACCUUUGCAGCAGCGCAUAUGAGACAGCAAUAGUAAGCAAGCAAGCAAGCUCUCCCCCGCCAUAAGAGUCUGAGAUGAGAGCUUCGUUCAGCUUUUUCUUUAUCCUAGAAGAAGAAGACUGACCCCAAACGAAAUUGUGCACCCUAUAAGCCCGAUUAUAGCCAAGAACCCGUAUUUCCUGUCAUUUUACAAUAACGAAGUGUAAAUUAAGUCUGACAUGUUAUGGUGCUUGUCACAUAAAAAUUUGUAUCAUUGAUAAGUGAAAUCUUAUUGAUCUGAAUAUAUUAUCGGUCAAUAUUUACAGUCUUAUAACAUAAGACUAUGGCUUAAAAUUGCAUAUAAGAAUAUGGUGUUGGUCGCAUAACAUAUCAUGCGAGAUAGAUAUUAACAAAAGAAUAUGGCUUAAAAUUGCAUAUAUAGGAAAGAGAUCCUAUUCGGAUCUCUUCCUCCAAAACCACCAAAUCAAGUGAUCUGGGCCCUUGAAAUUUAAUCCAAUUGCUAAAAACAGAGAAGUUAGUAAAAACUUUUAAAAGUUGUAAUAAUUUUUAACCGUUAUAUCAAAUUUCAAAGGUCCGAAUCACUUGAUUUGAUGGCUUUAGAGGAAAAAGAUCCGGAUCUCUUUCCGCAUAUAUAUAUAAACAAAACCCUAAUGCCUCGUUUAUUGAGAGCAUGUACUUUGUAGGAUUAUUCACACUAAAAAAGACAACUUUUAAACUUAGACAAAAGAAAAAAAAUUGUCAUCCAUUUCUUCAUUCAAAAUGACUUCAAUAUGGUAAAUAAUUCCAAAAUAAAUCCCUUCUAACAGACGAGGACUAAUAGCUCAUCUACACUCCCAUCUCAAAUUUCUUGAUAUCUCCAUUUCUCUAUUAUGAAAAUGAGGCGAGUGCAUAAUGGGUAUCAAUUAAAAUUCAUUUAGUUUAAUUUCAUCUUACAAUAUCAUUAUCACUACUAAUCGCACCCUUAUAUCAUGGUGCUUUUAUAUUAAAUAGGUUUUUUUUUUUUUUGUUGAGUUCCAAAUUAAACGGAUCUUUGCCGAUAUCCAAUAGCAACCUAAUAAAUUGAUUUACCACAUCUACAUAUGACUAUUCUAAAAUUCGAAUGACAAAUAUACCCGAUGGCAAGGCGGUUCAUGGGGUCACCGGUGGCGUAGCCUUUGAAGUAGAAAUAGCGAGUGAAAGUGAAGAGGAAACCAAGGGUGGCGGAGAUGCAAGGAUGCUUAAGACCUCCCAAUACCAGAAGCACAAAGAACAUUGGCAUCAUUUCGAGAGAGUUCUGAUGCCCUCUCUGCACACAGUUGAACACUUUUGCAUCUUUGUUCUCCGAUUCCGACACAUACAUGGUCGGAUAUGGCACCUUGUACCUGCGGCGGUGGUGACCAUUUCCAAUUAAUUGACGAUAAACGAUAAUCAAUUUGACAAACGAUAAUGGUAAUUGUGCUGAAACUACGAGAGAGAGAGAGAGAUUCAAACUUAGCUACAAAGGUUACAAAGGUGAAUCAUACAGCUAUAACCAACUCGACUAACUCAAUUCCAAACAAACAAAGAUCAUAUAAUUACACUAAAUUCAUUUACAAUGUAGGAAAGAGAUUUGAACAUAUAGCUACAGAGGUAGAUCACACAGCUCUAGCCAACUCAACUAACUCAAUUUCAAACAAUUAACAAUAGAUGACAAUAAAUUUGACGAUCGAUAUGAUAAUUGCGCUAAAUUUAUGUACACUACGAGAGAGAGAGAUUCGAACUUAGCUACAGAUGCAAAUCACAUGACUCUGGCCAACUCACUAACUCAAUUCCAAAUAAUUAACAAUAAAUUUGACAAACGAUAUAUAUGAUAACUAUGCUAAAUUCAUCUGAAAUAUGACGAAGGAGUUUCAAAUUAAACACAAAACUCAAACUAAACUCAAGUGUAGAGAACGACGGCGAGGACUACAUAGCCGUAUUCUUUGGGCAGCAAUUCGACUGCAGAAGUCAUUUUCUCUUCUUCUCUUCUUUACGUGGGUUUAAUCUGGGCAUUGGGGUAUCGACCUUUACUAGUCUUAUACUUGUUUCCCGACUUUUUCUCCAAGACAACUCUAGAGUUUAAUAUUUCAACUGUCAUGUACAGAGGGCCAAUUUGCUCACUGCUGAUGCUCACCUUCAUUGAUUACUGUUUUUUUUUUUUUUUUAACAAACGAUAUUAUUUAUAUUAAGAAAUAGAAAUGAACUUAGUCUCAUAAUAAAUUAAACAAUAAUGUAGUUCAAGCUCGUCCUUGGCAAGAAUCGAAUCUAAGACCUCUUACUUACAAGUGAAGAGGAAUACAUUCGUUUGAUAUAAUUGUUUUAACAAAAUUGUUAUUUUUAUGAGUAAUGGUAAGGAUGCUAAAUUUUUUAAACCAAAUUUGCAAACUAAAUGGUGUGGUUGUAGAUGAUUGGAUUAUUAAUUAAGUAUCAAUUAACGUGCUUGUUUCUUAUUGAUGACACAUAAUUUGAUUUGCAAUUUGGUUUAAAAAAUUUAAUUUCUCUAACAUUACUCUAUUUUUAUUAUCUAUUUAUAUCAUCAUUUAUGAUUAUUUUCUCACGAGACCGUAUGUGUUGGUGGGUCCUAUUUGUAUU
RNAcentral lists this long non-coding RNA (15030 nucleotides) under Malus domestica (apple). RNAcentral's name for it is "long non-coding RNA (MDOM_LNC017817)". The record is from RNAcentral. Lineage: Eukaryota; Viridiplantae; Streptophyta; Magnoliopsida; Rosales; Rosaceae.